ACGAAAGUCUGACCGAGCAACGCCGCGUGAGUGAAGAAGGUUUUCGGAUCGUAAAACUCUGUUGUUAGAGAAGAACAAGGAUGAGAGUAACUGUUCAUCCCUUGACGGUAUCUAACCAGAAAGCCACGGCUAACUACGUGCCAGCAGCCGCGGUAAUACGUAUGUGGCAAGCGUUGUCCGGAUUUAUUGGGCGUAAAGCGAGCGCAUGCGGUUUCUUAAGUCUGAUGUGAAAGCCCCCGGCUCAACCGGGGAGGGUCAUUGGAAACUGGGAGACUUGAGUGCAGAAGAGGAGAGUGGAAUUCCAUGUGUAGCGGUGAAAUGCGUAGAUAUAUGGAGGAACACCAGUGGCGAAGGCGGCUCUCUGGUCUGUAACUGACGCUGAGGCUCGAAAGCGUGGGGAGCAAACACGAUUAGAUACCCUGGUAGUCCACGCCGUAGACGAUGAGUGCUAAGUGUUGGAGGGUUUCCGCCCUUCAGUGCUGCAGCUAACGCAUUAAGCACUCCUCCUGGGGCAGUACGACUGCAAGGUUGAAACUCAAAGGAAUUGACGGUGGGCCCGCACACGCGGUGGAGCAUGUAGAUUUAAUUCUAAGCAACGCGCACAACCCUUACCAUGUCUUGGACAUCCUUUGACCCACU
This 639-nucleotide ribosomal RNA is filed under the name Enterococcus hirae. Its description in RNAcentral is "bacterial SSU rRNA". It matches the Rfam family "Bacterial small subunit ribosomal RNA", at positions 375 to 1001 of the family's 1533-position model. Lineage: Bacteria; Bacillati; Bacillota; Bacilli; Lactobacillales; Enterococcaceae. The record is from RNAcentral.